AUAAGAACUGAGGGCAGGAACUCGGAGUCUCAUUUUACUACCAGGCACCUGGAGUCCAUCCUUGAAAAAUUCUACCCAUCAGACCAGAAGAAAUUUCACCUUUCACAUCACUUCAGAGUGACCCAGGAGGCAAUUUCAACCUGUCUGCUUCUUUUACUCCCUCCUGAAUUCUGUAAAAAAAACUUCCUAAUAGCUACGAUAUUGAAGGAGGGGUUGGUGCUGCUCACAUGUGUGGGUAAACAAGAAUUGCUCGUGAGAACGUACCAUCCAGUGAGCCCAAGUGGUCCAACAAAGUGGCCACUACAACUUGACAAUCAAAGGAAAGAUAUUAUUAUAAAGAGUCAUAUGUCCUGGAAGUAUUUUCUUUUCUCUUUUUUUUUUUGAGACGGAGUCUCGCUCUGUCGCCCAGGCUGGAGGGCAGUGGCGCGAUCUCGGCUCACUGCAAGCUCCGCCUCCCGGGUUCCCGCCAUUCUCCUGCCUCAGCCUCCCGAGUAGCUGGGACUACAGGCCCCGCCACCACGCCCGGCUAGUUGUUGUUGUUUUUGUUUUUUUGUUUUGUUUUGUUUUGUUUUUGUAUUUUUUAGUAGAGACGGGGUUUCACCGUGUUAGCCAGGAUGGUCUCGAUCUCCUGACCUUGUGAUCCGCCCGCCUCGGCCUCCCGAAGUGCUGGGAUUACAGGCGUGAGCCACUGCGCCCGGCCGGAAGUAUUUUCUUGAAUUGGUAUUUAAGGUGAUGGGUAAUUUAUAUUUCAAAUGACACAAACAUAUUGUACACUUAGAUUCAUGCUUUAAAUUUUAAAACCUAUGUGCCAGGCAAUGUGCUUGACAUUUUAAAAUAGAUUAUCUCUCAUCUUCCCCUAAGUCUGAAUAUGUAGCAUAUAUGCCCAGUGCUUAGGAAUACUUGAUAGGAAGCAGUAUGUAAUUGAAAACGUUUGGUAAAUCACAUAAAGAUUUAUUCAAACAUCUUUGUGAAGAACCAAAUAAAGUAACUAUAGUAUGGUUCAUAAUAAAAUCACUAGUUUUUAGAUGUGAUGUUAGAAUUAUAGAUCUAUUUUUAGAUGUCUAAAUUUAGUGGAAUGUGGUUGUACAGAAGUAGGUUGAAAUCACUUUUCAAAAUGGAUCAUUUUUUUUUCUAGUAAGCCCAUUAUUCAUGAUAAAGUCUUCAGAGAAUAUGAGUCGUUUCUCCAUUUUAUUUUAAUGGUGAAUUACGCUAUGCAAAUUACCAGUGCUUAUCUUAUUGUGCACAAAUAAGUGACCUAAGUAGCUCAUUUAGUGCUGCACAUUUGUUUAUGUUGGACCUCGUUCUGAAAUGUCACCACGCUAACUUGCUAUUUACUUUAUACGGCAGUUACAAGAGAUGAUUCAUCUCUUGUGUAUGAGCAUGAUUUUUAUUUUAGCCAUCAAUAACCAUGACAAUGAUAAUACACUGUAAGACUGAUAAUGAUGAGGUUUUUCCCUACCAGCUUAGUGUAAUUGAUAGUAAAAAUAAAAAGAUCAAUAAAACCGUGAAC
RNAcentral lists this long non-coding RNA (1510 nucleotides) under Macaca mulatta (Rhesus monkey). RNAcentral describes it as "lncRNA (ENSMMUG00000064990.1)". The record is from RNAcentral. Lineage: Eukaryota; Metazoa; Chordata; Mammalia; Primates; Cercopithecidae.